CUUUUAUUGAGAGUUUGAUCCUGGCUCAGGAUGAACGCUGGCGGCGUGCCUAACACAUGCAAGUCGAACGAAGCA
Molecule: ribosomal RNA, 75 nt
Filed under: [Clostridium] polysaccharolyticum
Lineage: Bacteria; Bacillati; Bacillota; Clostridia; Lachnospirales; Lachnospiraceae
Description: 16S rRNA. Bacterial SSU
Rfam family: Bacterial small subunit ribosomal RNA
Source: RNAcentral